ACCGCGGUAGCCCCCAGUUGGUAAUGGCCUCGGCAGUACAGAUGCUGAUGGUCGCUGGUUCAAAUCCUGCCUGCGGUG
Molecule: non-coding RNA, 78 nt
Organism: Phthorimaea operculella (potato tuberworm)
Lineage: Eukaryota; Metazoa; Arthropoda; Insecta; Lepidoptera; Gelechiidae
Source: the annotation of a GenBank genome assembly